GAUGAACGCUGGCGGUAUGCUUAACACAUGCAAGUCGAACGGACUCUUCGGAGUUAGUGGCGGACGGGUGAGUAACGCGUGAGAAUCUGGCCUUGGGUUCGGGACAACCACUGGAAACGGUGGCUAAUACCGGAUGUUCUGUGAGGUAAAAGAGAAAUUGGCUGAAGAUGAGCCCGCGUCUGAUUAGCCAGUUGGUGAGGUAAAGGCUCACCAAGGCAGCGAUCAGUAGCUGGUGUGAGAGGAGGACCAGCCACAACAGGACUGAGACGCCGCCCAGCCCACUCCGGGGGGAAGCAGUAGGGGAGUAUCCGGGAUGGGCGAAAGAAUGACGGAGCAGUACCGCGUGGGGAAAGAAGGAGCUUGGGGUGUAAAACUGUUUUCUUAAGGAAGAACAAAAUGACGGUACCUAAAGAAUCAGCAUCGGCUAACUCCGUG
RNAcentral lists this ribosomal RNA (435 nucleotides) under uncultured bacterium. RNAcentral describes it as "partial 16S ribosomal RNA". It matches the Rfam family "Bacterial small subunit ribosomal RNA", at positions 28 to 507 of the family's 1533-position model. The record is from RNAcentral.